GGCGACGGUGGAUCGGCCAGCGCUCCGUGACCUCGAGGGUCUCGCCCGGCGCGAGGUUCAGCACCUCGCCGAUGACG
This 77-nucleotide transfer RNA is filed under the name Cellulomonas composti. Its description in RNAcentral is "tRNA-Ser". Lineage: Bacteria; Bacillati; Actinomycetota; Actinomycetes; Micrococcales; Cellulomonadaceae. The record is from RNAcentral.